AGGAUCAAGUAAACACAACAAUCCAUGACAAGCACCAUAAACAGAGGGGCGAUCAUUCUUAAAAAAGGGCAAGUGAAUGUUUUGUUUUACUAUAUAAUUUUGAUAUUUUUCAUUUGAAAGUUGAGAGAAAUAACGUUGGAAGGUGUUACCAUCACAGCGACUAAGCAGUAGAUUAAGGUUGUUGUUUUCAAGGUUGUUGUGAUAAUUAUUGGAAAUGAAAUGAGGAGUUUGAAAAGAAGAACACCAAUACUUACAAACACAGUUGAAGCGAGUAAGGGAUUUAACUGGCAGCUUUGACAGAAUUUCCAUAACCAAAGCUUCUGGCAAUUCAAACCUUGGCCUCUGCAUCUUGCUAUUUUGAUUUUCUUUGUAAUUGGGUAAGAGGAAUGAAUAAAAUGGGAGUUGGUAGGUGUCAUCUAUGGUCCAAACCUUAACCAGGAAGCAAAGAAGCAUAAAAGGUAAGCAUUUGAUAGGUUAUAAUAAUUAUAUGGAAUUUAGGAAAAUUUACUUAUUUGCAUUUGUAUCCAUGUGAGGAAGGAUUAAGAUCAAAUAUAAUAUAAUACGUACUUUUUGAAUUUAAUCCCCAAUUUUUAAAAGAAUAAAUUUAAAGGAUAUCACAUUUAUUUACUUUUUGUAUAUUUGAAAUUUAAUACUUAAUUUUUAUUUUAAAGAAUUCAAUCUCUCUAUUUUUUAAAAGCCAAAAACAGUGAUGUAGUUUUUUUUUUCACACGGCAAUCAAAAAAAAAAAUUUAAAGGUAGUUUUUUUUUCUCGUUUCUGCUCUUUUUCUUUUUUUCGUCUGUUCUAUUUUACUUGCGUUUUUUUUUUUGAGUUUUUUCUUUUCUUCUUUCGACAUACAUAUAUCUACAUUUUUUUAAAAAAAAGAACAGUUUAUAUAUAUACAUACACAAAAAAAUAAAAAUAAAAAAACUCACCUUUGAACUUUCCGGACUCGGCUACGUCGGCCGGUGCGGCGGAGACAAGGCGGCCCUUUGGCCGGAAUCUGGAUUUCAUCCAGAGAAAAGAGACCCCCUUUUCCCUUUUUUUGGUUUCUUUACAGACUGCCGGGAAUGAUUUCUUUUCCUCAAAAGUUGUCUUUUAUAGCCCCCCCCCCAACACCCCAGCAAAACGAUGUCGUUUUGGUUGGCGUACUUGAGCAAGAAACGACGUCGUUUUGGCCUUAGGAUCCGCUUGUGACCCGACCCGCAAAGAGGAUCCGCGUGUCACCAUUUAGGGGGAUAUCUUCACAAUUGGUGCCUCCACUUUUGUCUCGCUUUCAAUGUAGUUUUUUCAUAUAUUUUUAAUUUUGGCUACAUAAUUUUUCGUCUGUUUUAAUUUGGUCCCCAGACCAUGCACACGCGCCUCACUAGAACGAUGCCGUUUGGUCAGUUAGGGAGUAUUUCCGUUUUUGCUCCUCUUCCUUUCACGCGUGUUGUGAUUUAGUCCUUUUUGUGCUUUUUAUUGUUAAUUUCGACCCUAAAACCUUGUUUAUUUUCAAUUUAAUCCUUAAUCUGCUAUUUUAGUUAUUUUUCCUGUUAAAUUAAUUAUUUUAACAUUAUUAAAACUAUUAUAUUGCAUAAUUAUUAUUUAUUAUUAAUAUUAUUAUCCUUAUCUCGUUUGUACCUUUUUAUUCUAAAAUUUUGUUAUAUAUAUAUAUACAUAUCCGCAUAUGCUUUUCUAAUAUAUAUAUGUAUAUUUUUAAGGUUAUUAUAAAUAUACUUUUAUAUUUCAUUUUUUAUACUUAUAUCUAUAUCCACGUAUUUUAAUUUAUAUACAUAUAGAUUUUAUAUAUACUUAUUAUAAUUUUUUUAUUGUCAUAAAUACAUACACAUGUACACAUACUUUUAUAUGUUCUUCUAUAUUCCAUAAUUCUUAUAUACAUCCAUAUACAUAUGUAUAUUUUAAUCUACAUACAUAUAUGUAUAUAUACACAUACGACAUAUAUUUCUAUUUUAUAAUUUUAAAAUAAAUAUAUAUAUAUCUAUAUAUUCUUCUUAUUUUUAUAUACACAUGCAUAUAUUUUAUAUUUCCUUUAUUGUUUCGUUGUUUCGCGUAAUGUCAACCUUUUUAUGCCUAUUUUAUUUUAAAAGCAUUUUAAUUCGACUCUUUUAUUUACUAUUUAUCUUACAUUAAUUAAUUUGUCUCUGUAUUUAUUUUGCUACGUACAAAAUCGUGCUACAUUUUACCCGAUUCAUUAAAAAUGAUGUUUUAAACAAGCAAUAUUCAUAUUUUGAAAUUCGAAAAGUCGUUCCCUAACUUACGGGGUUUCGACUUUCUAAAAAAAAUCCAAAUACCGAACAUUUUUAAGCAUAAAUUUUAAAUAAUCUCAAGAAUUACUAAAAGAUCGUGUUCUAACUUAGGGAAUAUGAUUUUUUUCUAAAACCGAUAUAGUCAAACAUCUUUUAAAAUAAAUUUUUCGGCGUUUAUUUGUGCAUCAAGAAUUUAAGACAUUGUGUCCUAAUUCACGGGACGCGAUUCAUUUUCUCGAUUAACGUAAAAUAUGUCCAUUUGUCAACUUUUUAAUAUUUUAACAAGGGAUCGUAUUUUAAAUCUCUUUAAAGUUUUCAAUUUUUGACGAGACACUAAUUAAUCAACUAAGUACCAAUUUUGGGCGCGGGGGUGCUAAUUAGAGGUGAUCAUGGGUUGGGCAGUCCGGCCCGGCCCGAUGGCCCACCCAAAAUAUGAGAGGGUUUGGGUAAAAAUAUAGGCCCGAAAUAUGGGUUUGGGCAAAAAAUGAGGCCCGUUGGCAAAACUUUUUUGGUCCAGGCCUGGCCCGAAUAUAUAAUAAAUAUAUAUUUUUAUUUUUAAAAUACAUUUUCCAUUUCCCCAUUUCCCCAUUUCCCAUUAGACAUUUAGUAUUUAUAUAAUAAAUAUAUAUUUUUUAUUUUUUAAUUUUAAAGUAUUUUUAAAAUACUUCUUUUAUUUUUUAUUUUUAAGAUACAAUUUUGUUGUUUAUUAAAAAAAGGGUCGGGCUCGGGCUUAGGAUUUUUUCUCGGGCCAGGCUUGGACAAAAUUUCAGGCCCAUAUUUUGGGCUAGGCCGGGCCCAGGCCUAGGACGCGGGCCAAAAAAAAAUUUAGGCCUGGCCCAGCCCAUGAUCACCUUUAGUGCUAAUCCUUCCUUGUACGUAACCGACGCCCGAACUCGUGCUUAUGUGGCACGGCACAUAGGCUACUUUGUUGACCUAUGGUUUGACCGACGAUCAACUCACAUUUUCUGUUAAAAUUGGGCUAAUUUAUUAAAAAAUUGUACCGUUAACGGUGUCAAUCCAAAAAAAAAAAGGUUAAUGGCUCAAACCCAAAAACUCAAAAAAUUGAGUGUUUUUUCGACAAUUAUGCGAAAUUCUUUGUUAAAUUUGUUGGUUUGAUAUUCUUUCAAAAGUACAUUAUAAUGCCUUUUUUUUUAACCCAAACCCAAACUUUUGAAAUCAAAUACUAUUUUGAGAGGGAAAAUAUUUGAUUUUUUUUUUUGUUCAAUUGCUUGAAUCUGGUUGGAUAGUUUCUAUUUUCGUUUUAUUAAAUUUCCUUUUUCUCUGUUUGAAGGCGACUUUAAAGAAAAGAGUAACAUGCGAAGGAAUUGCAUUGGACUUUGCAAAGAUCAUAAAACACACAUUAAAAAUAUGUAUUAUUAGUUCUGUUGGACUUAAAGAUUUUGGGUUGUAACACUAGUAGAAAUUAUAUAAAGAAAGAUAUUGAAUGUUAUGGGAUUGGGUUUGGGUUAUUUUAAAUCUAUAUUCAGAUUAAUGUUAUUUUAAAAUCGAAUAAUUUUGAGUUUAAAUCAUUCAAAGUUGUUGAUCGGAUUUUAUAAAGAUAAAAAAACAUAUUGAAAAUAUGUAAUAUUAAUUGGAUUAUUUUAAACUAUGACAUAAAUACUUGAGUCUCAAAAUAAACACUAGCUCAAUAAAACGCAUAUGAUAAUUUAGAGUACUGUAAUAAAAUACAUAUUGAUAAUUCAGAUAUUACAUUAAACAUUUUUAAACAUACAUGAGACAAUUGUGGUAAAGCUGGCUAUGGUAAUUUUAUGGUAUCGGAUCCAUUACUGCAUAGGCCGUAAAAUAAGUUGGAACAAUUUUGGGGAGUUCCAAAGGUAUGGGAUGGCCCCGGUCUUCCAUAACAAAUAAACAUCUCCCCGAGUAGUAGAACUCUAGUUCUUCUGUGUUUACUGCAUGAAAUUUGUGGAGAUGCUCCUAUAAGUCGGAAAACUAUGUCCGCAACUUGUCGGACCGUAUAGGUGGAUCUAGGUGUGAGUCCCAUAGCUAAAUCCCAAAAUUCAUUAAAACAAAUAAGAGACAAUAAAGUAUAUUAAACACAAAUCUGAAUGUGAAGAAAAAAUAAAAACAAUUUAUUCGAUAUACCCGGAUCUAAAUUUGUCCUAAGUUGUAUGGCCGAUUGGAAGUAUGCCAGAGGAUAUGGUGCAAAGUCGGAACAUGUGCCAUGUUUUGUCCAUUCGUUGUGCAAAAAGCUAAUGUCUAACUUUCCCAAUAUCAAGUUUGGCCAUAGUCGGGGCAAGUCUACCCAAAGAACUGGAUCACUUUUCAGCAAACUCUUUGAAAUUAAAAACAAAAAUCUGGUUAGAUGACAGAUAAUUUACUUAAUAGUUUUAGGCGAAGAAUGUACGUAUGCGUACUUCGAGUUUCUUCUUAUCUAGAUUAGGAUUCGGAUUGUUGCAAAGAUUACUUGGACCAUACUGGGUCACCGGCUUGUCAUUAGCAUCUUGUGCCCAAAUUCCAUGUAUUGUAAAUUCUGUUGGGAUAGGGGUUUUACAUCUCGAAGUAGAGCUGCAAACUGAUGGAGGCCAUUGAAGUGCCAGCUUGUAGAAGUGCGGAAUUGCUGGUUGCUGAGGUACUGCAAAUGCUACCCAUAAUGAAAAAUUGAUACAAUGCAUUUUUACAAAUUUACAAAUAAAAAGAGAACUACUCCAUAUAUAAAUAUUACAUGCAUGGAUGAUUGGGCUGAGAUUGGAUGAUUGUGCUUUGCGAGUAGCUGGUUUAUGAUCUCCUUUAUAAUCUUGGCGCACAUAUUUCACAAAAUUUUCAAAGUCCUGCAACCAUGAAAUAAAUAUUGAGGUUACUUAUCACAAAGUGUUACUUCACAAUCACACCAAGAGAGAAAUAAACAAACUCACUUGUCUGAGUGGCUGAUUAUUCACCACCACCCAUGGCACAUCUUCUUGAGGUGGCUUCAGAUGUGCAGUCUCGUUAGCAUAUUGCAGCAGAAGCUGCAUUUCAUUAAUUUGGAAAAUCAAUGUUAGAAAAAGCUAAGAAGUGUUAAUUAAAUACUAAGACAUGCAGCCAACCUUAUAUCCAAAUCCAGUAGUAUAGCAUUUGUUGAUUAUCUCCUCAUUCAAUCUCAGCUUUUCACUGCAAUUUUUCCACAGUGCUUCAACGGGCCCCCCCUUUAAGCUUUGUUGCUCUGUGCAGCGAAUGAAUUCCAAGUGCUCUUUCUGCACCACAGUAGAGUAAUUAAACACGAGUUGGAGAUGAGUACAAAUACUUAUGGCUCAUAGCAGUUACUGCAUCAGGCCAUAAAUGGAUGACACAACUAUGUAUAGUGUUUAAGUGACGUUCUUCUUCUCCAUGUUGCACAUUAUCGCAAAAACUAUAAUUAGUUAUAACACCAAAAAGAACUAGAACUUCAUUAGUUAAUAAUGAUAAUACAUUAAAAUGAAGAACGGAGUAGUAAACCUGGCAAUGGAUUUCAGCAUUGCCCCAAGGGACCAAUCUUAGAUUGGUAAUGGUAUGGAGGUCAGUGCGGAAGACCUUGACUAGGCUAUUGGAGAUAAGCGAGAAUAUUGCAAGAGCAGCCAGAAUAUAGAAGAUUAAUGGUUGAAGAUAAGCCAUUGUUUCAGUGGUAGCUUUUGCACAAUGCUAGACCUCCAUUGUGCAAGGCUUCUUAUAGUUGAGAAUUGGGAUGCUGAGUAUUGCUUUCUGUCACGUUCAGAAACCAUGAGACAAAUUUACAAAGUUAUCAUCUUUAAAAAAACAAUUAUACACCACUUUAAAAAAAAAUUAUUUACAUGAAAGCUUGUUUAUCUAUUUAUGUAUGAAUAUUGUCUAAACAUGAAAGGAGAAAUCUUAUUAGAUAAUAGAGUUUUAUAAUAACUUAUAAUUUAAAUUAAGUUAUUAACGUAUUUACUGAAUCAUUGGCCUUCUAAAAUGCUUUUAGAUAUCAAAUCCUCUUCGACUUGCAAUUUUUUUCUGCAGAAAACAAUAUCAACAUCUAAGCAAUCUUAUAGAUAUCUAAGCAACAAAAACCAAACAUAAACUGAACAAUUCUCCAAAUACAGAAACCAGGAAAUAGUUAACAUCUCAAACAUAUAACCCAAACAAUUAUAGCAAUAUUAAGAAGCUCACAACAAAAAAUUCCUAUUACAUCUUACACAUAUAUGUUCCAGCUCCACAUCCCUCUUCAUAUUCAGUAUCCAUUUCAUGCCUUCUUCAUAUUUAGUAUUCAUUUGAUGCAUCUCUCGCUGGUUGACGUAUUACAUGUUUCUCAAUAUUCUCUUGUAUUCCAUUGAUACGAACCAGGCUCUCUAAAUAAGCAUGAAGGGAGAUGGUGAACCGAAAAUGAUCUAGGUAAGUAUUAAUCUCAAGCUCCUUAAGCUCUUGGGUGGAGGCGUCAAAUAGGAGUACUUCAUCAUUUGUGUCUGUAAGAAACAAGUCACCAUUUUUUCCAAAUCCCAAUGGGUGUACAACUCCAGAAAUGGAUUGUUUAGUCCACACUCCUUCACUUGUAACCCAUAAAUCAAAAGACGUGUCAAUUCUUUCCGUUGGGUAAACAAUAGCACCAAGUGAUCCAUUAAACACCAACAGAUUAACAUAGUAUUCUGGGAAAGACCCAACGAAUUCUGGGAUAGGUAAAAUUGAGAACUUCUCAUUCCCCAUGUCAAAUGAAAGAAUUAGUCCUCUAAAAUCAAGAUAUGCCCGUCUCUGUUUUCAUAUAGCAAAUUCCGUCUACAUAAUUAUUUCCCAAAGUUGUUCCAGUUGGUUUAUAAUCAGGACAUGGAAUUUCCUUCCAGGAAUUACUUCUAAGAGAAUACAACUCAACUUGGUACAUAAAAUGAGAAUGUGGAUAUUGUUCUUCACUAUUAACAAAAGUAAGAGUAACAAAUCGUAUGACUUUGUAGUCAUCAGUUUUAGAAUCAAACCCAAAAGAAGCGUGGUUAAAUUCAACGUGAUCUAAAGUAAGGUAGGUUUCUUCGAAUGGGGAAAAAUAUGGAGGGCGUUGGAUUGAAGAUGGUGGAAGGAUUUUAAACUCUCUGGUUGAUGGGUUCCAAAUGGCAGCCUUAUCCUUUGAAGGAUCAAGUAAACACAACAAUCCAUGACAAGCACCAUAAACAGAGGGGCGAUCAUUCUUAAAAAAGGGCAAGUGAAUGUUUUGUUUUACUAUAUAAUUUUGAUAUUUUUCAUUUGAAAGUUGAGAGAAAUAACGUUGGAAGGUGUUACCAUCACAGCGACUAAGCAGUAGAUUAAGGUUGUUGUUUUCAAGGUUGUUGUGAUAAUUAUUGGAAAUGAAAUGAGGAGUUUGAAAAGAAGAACACCAAUACUUACAAACACAGUUGAAGCGAGUAAGGGAUUUAACUGGAAGCUUUGACAGAAUUCCCAUAACCAAAGCUUCUGGCAAUUCAAAUCUUGGCCUCUGCAUCUUGCUAUUUUGAUUUUCUUUGUAAUUGGGUAAGAGGAAUGAAUAAGCAAGCAAAAUGGGAGUUGGUAUGGUCCAAACCUUAACCAGGAAGCAAAGAAGCAUAAAAGGUAAGCAUUUGAUAGGUUAUAAAAAUUAUAUGGAAUUUAGGAAAAUUUACUUAUUUGCAUUUGUAUCCAUGUGAGGAAGGAUUAAGAUCAAAUAUAAUAUAAUACAUACUUUUUGAAUUUAAUCCCCAAUUUUUAAAAGAUUAAAUUUAAAGGAUAUCAC
Molecule: long non-coding RNA, 7906 nt
Filed under: Gossypium raimondii (Peruvian cotton)
Lineage: Eukaryota; Viridiplantae; Streptophyta; Magnoliopsida; Malvales; Malvaceae
Description: long non-coding RNA (GRAI_LNC009689)
Source: RNAcentral